Molecule: non-coding RNA, 24 nt
Filed under: Rattus norvegicus (Norway rat)
Lineage: Eukaryota; Metazoa; Chordata; Mammalia; Rodentia; Muridae
Source: RNAcentral
UUGGGAUCUGAUUGGCAGGAGACC